This 106-nucleotide ribosomal RNA is filed under the name Mycoplasma sp. CSL7503-lung. Lineage: Bacteria; Bacillati; Mycoplasmatota; Mollicutes; Mycoplasmatales; Mycoplasmataceae. RNAcentral also lists the same sequence under 3 other names. The record is from RNAcentral.
AUCAGUAGCAAUAGCAAGAGGGUCCACCUGAUACCAUUCCGAACUCAGUAGUUAAGCCUCUUUACGCCGACGAUAGCCACUUGGUGAAAAUAGGGAGCUGCUUUUU